This 234-nucleotide ribosomal RNA is filed under the name uncultured bacterium. RNAcentral's name for it is "partial 16S ribosomal RNA". It matches the Rfam family "Bacterial small subunit ribosomal RNA", at positions 524 to 756 of the family's 1533-position model. The record is from RNAcentral.
UACGUAGGGUGCAAGCGUUGUCCGGAAUUAUUGGGCGUAAAGAGCUCGUAGGCGGUUUGUCGCGUCUGCUGUGAAAACCCGAGGCUCAACCUCGGGCCUGCAGUGGGUACGGGCAGACUAGAGUGCGGUAGGGGAGACUGGAAUUCCUGGUGUAGCGGUGAAAUGCGCAGAUAUCAGGAGGAACACCGGUGGCGAAGGCGGGUCUCUGGGCCGAUACUGACGCUGGAGGAGCGA